Molecule: ribosomal RNA, 1338 nt
Filed under: uncultured Chloroflexota bacterium
Lineage: Bacteria; Bacillati; Chloroflexota
Description: bacterial SSU rRNA
Rfam family: Bacterial small subunit ribosomal RNA
Source: RNAcentral
GGUCGACGAUUAGAGUUUGAUCAUGGCUCAGGAUGAACGCUGGCGGCAUGCCUAAUGCAUGCAAGUCGAACGGGGGAGUGGCCUUCGGGCCUGUCCCUAGUGGCUAACGGCUGAGUAAUGCACAGGUAACCUACCCCUAAGUGGGGGAUAACCUUUCGAAAGAAGGGCUAAUACUGCAUGUGAUUCCCCUGAGAAAUCGAGGGAAUGAAAGCCUUCGGGUGCUUAGGGAGGGGCUUGUGUCCUAUCAGGUAGUUGGUAGGGUAAUAGCCUACCAAGCCAAAGACGGGUAGCUGGUCUAAGAGGAUGGUCAGCCAGACGGGGAAUGAGAGACGGCCCCGACUCCUACGGGAGGCAGCAGCAAGGGAUAUUGCGCAAUGGGCGAAAGCCUGACGCAGCGAUGCCGCGUGGGGGAAGAAGGCCUUCGGGUUGUAAACCCCUUUUCUUGGUGAAGAGGAAGGACGGUAACCAGGGAAUAAGCCUCGGCUAACUACGUGCCAGCAGCCGCGGUAAUACGUAGGAGGCGAGCGUUAUCCGGAAUCAUUGGGCGUAAAGGGCGUGUAGGUGGCCCCUUAAGUUGGCGGUGAAAUCUUCCGGCUCAACCGGGAGGGGACGGCCAAAACUGAGGAGCUUGAGGGCAGCAGAGGGAGGUGGAAUUCCCGGUGUAGCGGUGAAAUGUGUAGAUAUCGGGAGGAACACCAGUGGCGAAGGCGGCCUCCUGGGCUGCCCCUGACGCUGAGGCGCGAAAGCGUGGGGAGCGAAGCGGAUUAGAUACCCGCGUAGUCCACGCCCUAAACGGUGGACACUAGGUAUAGGGGGUAUCGACCCUCUCUGUGCCGAAGCUAACGCUUUAAGUGUCCCGCCUGGGGACUACGGCCGCAAGGCUAAAACUCAAAGGAAUUAACGGGGGCCCGCACAAGCAGCGGAGCGUGUGGUUUAAUUCGAUGCAACACGAAGAACCUUACCAAGGCUUGACAUGCUGGUGGUAGGGACCCGAAAGGGCGACGACUCGCUUCGGCGAGAGCCAGCACAGGUGCUACAUGGCUGUCGUCAGCUCGUGCCGUGAGGUGUCGGGUUAAGUCCCAUAACGAGCGCAACCCUCGCCCUGUGUUACUCUCUCACCGGGGACUGCCCAGAAAUUCUGGGAGGAAGGUGGGGAUGACGUCAAGUCAGCAUGGCCCUUAUGCCUUGGGCAACACACACGCUACAAUGGGUGGUACAGAGGGUAGCCAAAGAGCAAUCUGGAGCUAAUCCCAGAAAACCAUCCCCGGUUCGGAUUGCAGGCUGAAACCCGCCUGCAUGAAGGUGGAGUUGCUAGUAACCGCAGGUCAGCAUACUGCG